ACCGGGGGUCAAAACGCAAUUUAGAAAAAUUGUGCCCCGUCAGCGCCACGUCAGCAGCUCAGUCAGUAGCCCUGGCCAACCAGGACCUGCCGCGUGGCAAGACCACAUCGACCGGGGAACGAGCCACGUGAGCGAUCCGCGUGCGCGCGAUCGGACGGCCCAGAUGCGUCCCCGCGCGCACGGACGGCCCAGAUGCAAUCGCACGGACGGCCCAGAUGCACGUGCACGGACGGUCCAGAUUCAAUCAAGAACGAACGGUCCAGAUUUAACCAAAAUGGACGGCUGUGAUCAAAAGGCAAAAGGGUAUAAAU
Molecule: long non-coding RNA, 311 nt
Filed under: Carica papaya (papaya)
Lineage: Eukaryota; Viridiplantae; Streptophyta; Magnoliopsida; Brassicales; Caricaceae
Description: long non-coding RNA (CPAP_LNC007514)
Source: RNAcentral